Molecule: ribosomal RNA, 164 nt
Filed under: uncultured bacterium
Lineage: Bacteria
Description: partial 16S rRNA
Rfam family: Bacterial small subunit ribosomal RNA
Source: RNAcentral
UAGGGAAUCUUCGGCAAUGGACGAAAGUCUGACCGAGCAACGCCGCGUGAGUGAAGAAGGUUUUCGGAUCGUAAAACUCUGUUGUUAGAGAAGAACAAGGGUGAGAGUAACUGUUCACCCCUUGACGGUAUCUAACCAGAAAGGAACGGCUAAAUACGUGCCAG